This 487-nucleotide ribosomal RNA is filed under the name uncultured bacterium. RNAcentral's name for it is "partial 16S ribosomal RNA". It matches the Rfam family "Bacterial small subunit ribosomal RNA", at positions 30 to 507 of the family's 1533-position model. The record is from RNAcentral.
CGAACGCUGGCGGCGUGCUUAACACAUGCACGUCGAACGGUGAAGGGACCAGCUUGCUGGUUCUGGAUGAGUGGCGAACGGGUGAGUAACACGUGAGUAACCUGCCCCCUUCUUCUGGAUAACCGCAUGAAAGUGUGGCUAAUACGGGAUAUUCUGGGUCUGUCGCAUGGCGGGCCCGGGAAAGAUAUUGCUUCGGUGGGGGAUGGGCUCGCGGCCUAUCAGCUUGUUGGUGGGGUGAUGGCCUACCAAGGCGGUGACGGGUAGCCGGCCUGGGAGGGUGGACGGUCACACUGGGACUGAGACACGGCCCAGACUCCUACGGGAGGCAGCAGUGGGGAAUAUUGCACAAUGGGCGCAAGCCUGAUGCAGCGACGCCGCGUGAGGGAUGGAGGCCUUCGGGUUGUAAACCUCUUUCGCCAGUGAAGCAGGCCUGCUCCGUGUGGGUGGGUUGACGGUAGCUGGAUAAGAAGCGCCGGCUAACUACGUG